This 388-nucleotide ribosomal RNA is filed under the name uncultured bacterium. RNAcentral describes it as "bacterial SSU rRNA". It matches the Rfam family "Bacterial small subunit ribosomal RNA", at positions 531 to 917 of the family's 1533-position model. The record is from RNAcentral.
GGGGCGAGCGUUGUCCGGAUUUAUUGGGCGUAAAGGGCGUGUAGGCGGCCUGGUAAGUCGGGGGUGAAAACUCAGGGCUCAACCCUGAGACUGCCUUCGAUACUGUCGGGCUCGAGUGCUCUAGAGGGUAGUGGAAUUGCCGGUGUAGCAGUGAAAUGCGUAGAGAUCGGCAGGAACACCAGUGGCGAAGGCGACUGCCUGGGGAGUAACUGACGCUGAGGCGCGAAAGCUGGGGGAGCAAACGGGAUUAGAUACCCCGGUAGUCCCAGCCGUAAACGAUGAGUGCUAGGUGUGAGGGGUAUCGACCCCCCUCGUGCCGCAACAAACGCAAUAAGCACUCCGCCUGGGGAGUACGGCCGCAAGGUUGAAACUCAAAGGAAUUGACGGA